UUUCCUACGGGUGGCAGCAGUCGAGAAUCUUCGGCAAUGGGCGAAAGCCUGACCGAGCGAUGCCGCGUGCGGGAUGAAGGCCCUCGGGUUGUAAACCGCUGUCGUAGGGGAGGAAGGUUCCGUGAAGAGCGGAAUUUGACCUAUCCUAGGAGGAAGUACGGGCUAAGUUCGUGCCAGCAGCCGCGGUAACACGAACCGUACGAACGUUAUUCGGAAUUACUGGGCUUAAAGGGUUUGUAGGCGGCCUUGUAAGUCAGGUGUGAAAGACCUCGGCUCAACCGAGGAACAGCGCUUGAUACUGCAAGGCUUGAGGGAGACAGGGGUAAGCGGAACUGAUGGUGGAGCGGUGAAAUGCGUUGAUAUCAUCAGGAACACCGGUGGCGAAAGCGGCUUACUGGGUCUCUUCUGACGCUGAGGAACGAAAGCUAGGGUAGCGAACGGGAUUAGAUACCCUAGUAGUC
RNAcentral lists this ribosomal RNA (461 nucleotides) under uncultured Planctomycetaceae bacterium. RNAcentral's name for it is "bacterial SSU rRNA". It matches the Rfam family "Bacterial small subunit ribosomal RNA", at positions 335 to 795 of the family's 1533-position model. The record is from RNAcentral. Lineage: Bacteria; Pseudomonadati; Planctomycetota; Planctomycetia; Planctomycetales; Planctomycetaceae.